Molecule: non-coding RNA, 2735 nt
Organism: Leptonychotes weddellii (Weddell seal)
Lineage: Eukaryota; Metazoa; Chordata; Mammalia; Carnivora; Phocidae
Source: RefSeq, a predicted model, not a curated record
GUCAGAGUUGGCUCUGGAGCCAGGCCCGGGGAGUGGCUCUUCCUGUGCCUCAGUUUCCUCCGCUGUGAGGUGCUAUGAAUCAUGGAGUUGGGAGGAUUAAUUGAGUCACUGUGUGUAAAGUUUGGGGAAGAAUGCCCGGCACAGGGUAAGGGCCGUGUCGCUUGCUGUGAGCAUCACCGUCUGCCUGGUUUCCGUCCUUUUGUUUCUUCCCAUUGCCUUUCUCUCAGCACACGUUAGUUUAAAAGUGGAGUUUUGGCAUCCAGGCAGCCACAGGUGGAGUCUGCGCUGCUGUGCUUGGUGCGUGACCUUGGCUGAAUUGUCCAGCUUCCACGAGCCCCUGCCUUCCCAUUCAGAAUGCUGCUGAUGGUGUUGGAUGAGAUAAUGGGCAUCUCUUGGUCAGCGAGCACCUGGCAUGCGGCUGGGACCCCGGCAGCGGCUGUGCUCGCCCUUAUCUCUCCUUCCCUGAGCCUCCAGCUCCCCCACCCUUGGGACGCCUUGUCCCCCUGGCAUUGCCUGCCUCCCGCCUGCCUCUUUGUUUCCUUUAUGGUCUCCUUGUGUGUCCUUGUUUCUGCCUCAGAUUGUGCCUGGUCCACUCCUGCUCCAGAGGCCUUUCCUGCCUUCCCUCCUUCUCUUCCUUCCAGCGGUUUAUUGAAUGGCUCUUCUGGGGCAGCUGCUCUGAUGGGAAAAUUCGUGUCCAUACAGACAUGGUUUCUGUCCCCAUGGGGCUUGUGGGUCGGCCUUAGCCACAGAGUCAAGACAGACGAGUAUAUAAUCACGAGGAUGCCUCAGUCUACCCGUGGGGCCCCUGGGGAACAAUGACCACGGUGUUUGGAUGCGGUGACCCACCAGCUCCUGCUGCUGUCGUCUUCCUCGAGUCACUCCAUCUCGCCACACCCCGGGGGGCCCAGCACCCUCGCCACCACCUGCCACCAUGUCGACCUCGUCGCUGCGGCGCCAGAUGAAGAACAUAGUCCACAACUACUCAGAGGCCGAGAUCAAGGUCCGAGAAGCCACGAGCAACGACCCUUGGGGCCCAUCCAGUUCCCUAAUGUCUGAGAUCGCUGACCUAACCUACAAUGUCGUCGCCUUCUCCGAGAUCAUGAGCAUGAUCUGGAAGCGGCUCAAUGACCAUGGCAAGAACUGGAGGCACGUCUACAAGGUAACAGACACGAGAGCUUGAGAAUGUUGAGUCUUAGGACUUCAAAUUCUUUUUGAAAACAUGGUACAUUGACGAGCUUCGUCCACAUAGAAGGCCGAAGCGGGUGCCCAGUGUUCGUCCCUCUGCGUGCCCGGAGCCCAGUUUCCUCUCAGAGGCAGCUGGUGUCCCCAGCGUUUGUGUUCUCCUUCAGGUGUGUGUGGACGUCCACAGGCACCAGGGAAUUCUGGGAGCCGUGGGGCUGUUGUGUGUCAGCUCUGGUUAUGUUGUCAUAGGCGAUUAUCAGAACUGAGAGCUGCACGUGAGAACUGGUGCAUUUUAUCAUAUGUAAACUACCGCCGGUUUUAAAAAGGAAAAUGGGCCUAUAUCUUAGAGAUUGUUUCUUGUCAAAAUAUGGAUUUGUCACCUUUUUUCCUUCUUUCCUUUGUUCCUUCCGUCCUUUUCUCUGCCCUUCCUUCCUUCCCUUUUUUAACAACUGCUGGUUACUCGGUGUUGAAUUUUUAAGUGGUUUGUGGUGUUUUGCUUUUGUUAACAAGACUGCCACGAGUAGCCUCAUUUAUUUGUCAUUCUCUGGAACUGGAAUUUCUGGGUCAAGGGGCACAUGCACGUGUCAUUUGGAGAAACGUGGACAGAAUGCCCUCCACGGGAAUCCUUUUGCUGGUCCCUAGUGAUGUGUGCACGUGUCCUCAUCUAGUGACCAGACAAGACUACAGGCUGUGGUCAAGGGGAACGUGUCUUUGGGCAACACUCAGUGAGCAGUUUUUCCAUUUUCUGGCCUGGGUCCUGGUAUCCUCCCCUUGGGUCAAGAAGUGGCAGUGGGCACAGGCUGGGGCAGAUGGCCAGGUCCCACUCCUGGCAGUGAGGCUCAGACCAGCCUGUGGACCUCCUUCUGUGUGAGCUGGAGCAAGGUUCAGCCGUGUUGGCGAGUCCUCUUGCUGCCGUUUCUUCAGUGAACAUUGGCGGAGGGUCUGCUCUAUGUGUGGCCGUGGACGAGGCAGAUGAAGCUCCUGGCCCCAUGGACUGCAGCUGGGGCCUCUGCCGGCUGGGCUCUCCGUCCCUCACCGGCACGGUAGCUCCCUCAUUUCCCUUGGGCCUGGAAAUGCUCUGGCUCGUUUUCACGCCCAUCCCGACAAACCCGGGUUGGGUUCUCAUUCCCGUGGACUCUGUGCUGGGUCAGUUAUGUUGCUGUUUGUUGCGAAGGACUGGGUGGCGUUUGUCUAGCUGAGAAUCAGGGAAAGGGUGAGGGGUAUGGGUGAGCGUUCGUGUGGAGGCGAAGGGAGGAGAAGCUUGGUGGGGCUCAUGGACCGUAUGCGAGGAGAGGGGAGUCCUGAGGGGCCCUGACUGCAGCUGGAGACACGCAGCUGUGGGCACAGAAUCCCCGAGAAGUACUUUCCUGUCCCCACUUUUUAGGUGGGGAUGUGGAGGCAUGAGGAGGCUCGGGGCUGCCCAGAGGGCAGGGGGAAAGGAGUCCCGGAGCCCGUUCUGACUCAGCUGUCACCUCUCUGCUCUGAGGAAUCAGGGUCUCAGGUUUUAUUUCUUUUUUUUUUUUUUUAAACAUUUAUUUAUUUGACAGAGAGAG